GACGAACGCUGGCGGCGUGCUUAACACAUGCAAGUCGAACGGAAAGGCCCUGCUUUUGUGGGGUGCUCGAGUGGCGAACGGAUGAGUAACACGUGAGUAACCUGCCCUUGACUUUGGGAUAACUUCAGGAAACUGGGGCUAAUACCGGAUAGGAGCUCCUGCUGCAUGGUGGGGGUUGGAAAGUUUCGGCGGUUGGGGAUGGACUCGCGGCUUAUCAGCUUGUUGGUGGGGUAGUGGCUUACCAAGGCUUUGACGGGUAGCCGGCCUGAGAGGGUGACCGGCCACAUUGGGACUGAGAUACGGCCCAGACUCCUACGGGAGGCAGCAGUGGGGAAUAUUGCACAAUGGGCGGAAGCCGGAUGCAGCAACGCCGCGUGCGGGAUGACGGCCUUCGGGUUGUAAACCGCUUUCGCCUGUGACGAAGCGUGAGUGACGGUAAUGGGUAAAGAAGCACCGGCUAACUACGUG
RNAcentral lists this ribosomal RNA (468 nucleotides) under uncultured bacterium. Its description in RNAcentral is "partial 16S ribosomal RNA". It matches the Rfam family "Bacterial small subunit ribosomal RNA", at positions 28 to 507 of the family's 1533-position model. The record is from RNAcentral.